This is a non-coding RNA of Ictidomys tridecemlineatus (thirteen-lined ground squirrel), 73 nucleotides long. NCBI's taxonomy places the organism in Eukaryota, Metazoa, Chordata, Mammalia, Rodentia, Sciuridae. The record is from Rfam.
GGGAAUGUAGCUCAGUGGUAAAGUGCUUGUCUAGCAUACAAGUAGGCCUUGGGUUCAAUUCCCAGUGCCCCCC